This 492-nucleotide ribosomal RNA is filed under the name uncultured bacterium. RNAcentral's name for it is "partial 16S ribosomal RNA". It matches the Rfam family "Bacterial small subunit ribosomal RNA", at positions 30 to 507 of the family's 1533-position model. The record is from RNAcentral.
AGUGAACGCUGGCGGCAUGCCUAACACAUGCAAGUCGAACGGCAGCACAGUAAGAGGCCGCUCUGACGGGUGGCGAGUGGCGGAUGGGUGAGGAAAACAUCGGCAGCUACUGGUUAGAGGGGGAUAAAGGAGGGAAAAAUACGCUAAUACAGCAUAGGACCAAAGGGGGGAAGCAGGGGAUCUUGGGACCUUGGGGGAGCGAAUGAGGCGAUGUCGGAUUAGCUAGUUGGAGGGGUAAAGGCGCACCAAGGCGACGAUCCGUAGAUGGUAUGAGAGGAUGAUCAGCCACACUGGAACUGAGACACGGUCCAGACUCCUACGGGAGGCAGCAGUGGGGAAUUUUGGACAAUGGGCGCAAGCCUGAUCCAGCCAUCCCGCGUGGGUGAAGAAGGCCUUCGGGUUGUAAAGCCCUUUUGUUGGGAAAGAAAAGCAGCAGGUUAAUACCCCGCUGUUCUGACGGUACCCGAAGAAUAAGCACCGGCUAACUUCGUG